AUCAUUACCGAGUGAGGGCCCUCUGGGUCCAACCUCCCAUCCGUGUCUAUCUGUACCCUGUUGCUUCGGCGUGGCCACGGCCCGCCGGAGACUAACAUUUGAACGCUGUCUGAAGUUUGCAGUCUGAGUUUUUAGUUAAACAAUCGUUAAAACUUUCAACAACGGAUCUCUUGGUUCCGGCAUCGACGAAGAACGCAGCGAAAUGCGAUAAUUAAUGUGAAUUGCAGAAUUCAGUGAAUCAUCGAGUCUUUGAACGCACAUUGCGCCCCCUGGUAUUCCGGGGGGCAUGCCUGUCCGAGCGUCAUUGCUGCCCUCAAGCACGGCUUGUGUGUUGGGCUUCCGUCCCUGGCAACGGGGACGGGCCCAAAAGGCAGUGGCGGCACCAUGUCUGGUCCUCGAGCGUAUGGGGCUUUGUCACCCGCUCCCGUAGGUCCAGCUGGCAGCUAGCCUCGCAACCAAUCUUUUUAACCAGGUUGACCUCGGAUCAGGUAGGGAUACCCGCUGAACUUAAGCAUAUCAAUAAGCGGAGGA
RNAcentral lists this ribosomal RNA (531 nucleotides) under uncultured fungus. Its description in RNAcentral is "eukaryotic LSU rRNA". The stretch from base 151 to 304 matches the Rfam family "5.8S ribosomal RNA". The record is from RNAcentral. Lineage: Eukaryota; Fungi.